Colius striatus (speckled mousebird) is the source of this 6863-nucleotide long non-coding RNA. RefSeq lists it as uncharacterized. The transcript has 4 exons. NCBI's taxonomy places the organism in Eukaryota, Metazoa, Chordata, Aves, Coliiformes, Coliidae. The record is from RefSeq and is a predicted model, not a curated record.
GCGUGGCUCCCCCUCUGCGGGGUUGGGGUUGGCCGGGGUUGGGGUGCAGGCAGCGGGUGUGUGUCCGGUGCUUUCCCGCUGGGAGCCCCCAGGCCGCUCGCAUUUUUGCCCCAAGCCCAUUGCGGUGUUCUCAUCCCGCACCCGCUUUAUUUUUGGCAAGAGGUUCCCGCACUAAAAUGUGCCGGAGCGUCGCCAGAGCCCAAGCUGGCAGCACCCCCAGAGAGCCUGGAGCUUUACCGCCCUUGCAACAUCAAACUCACGAGAAGAGCCCGUGUUUAUUUCCUAGUGUGGUACUCGAGGUGCACACGGGCUCCUCAGGUGUGGAAGGGUGAUGGAGUGGAAGGACAGCGGGAGAGAGGGAACGGAGAGGAAAGAGCAAGGAAGAAGUUCAAUUUGCAGCUGAGUGGCGAGAUAAGAACUGCAGAGGCUCCUACACUUAUUUUUUUAUAGAGCAUACCACAUAGUUGGGCAUAUGUAGCUCCCCCUCCCACUCAGAUUGUGCAGAGUAUUGCAUAAUGUUACCAUCUGAAUCGAUAGAAGUAACUGAAUUGUUUUCAAAGGGAAAAAAAUGAAUGCUAUUUUCCCUCAUUUACAAUACAGCUAUAAAUCUGUUGUCUCUAACCGGUGAUCUGAGAGCAGCCAUGCCACAAGUGUGCUUCCCAAAGUACUCAGCUUGGACCAGAGCUUGUUGAAGCCUUAAGAGCAUGGGGGAAAACGUGUUACUUACUGCUGAACUGUCCUGUGUGUCAGCACCUGAGCGCUUCUUUCUCUGUGUGCUUUUUAAAGAAUCCACUGUUAACGUCUCAGAACUCAACAACUGAUCCUGUUCUUGUCCUGCAUGAAGAAUAACCCAGUGAGGAUUUAGAAAGAAAAGCCUCGGGGCUCACUGAUUUACAUCCCCUAACCCCAAAGGAGCAGCUGUGCAGCAGCAGCCUGCUGUCCCCUGAGGGCAAAACAAAACCAGGGGCCUUUCUGCUUCUGAGUUGGGAAGAUAAUGAAACAGUAAAUACAUUUCAACAACUGAUGAGCAACUUCACUAUCCCAGUUUCCUCUCCUGUAUGUGACAGGUUAAUUCUGCUUUAGCAGGAGGUUUUACCUGCUUUUUUUUCCCCCUAAACCACUUCUGGUGUAUUUCUUUUCUUUUCAAAUACGACAGACUUUUUGCCAACUGCCUCCUGGUUGGAAACUGCUCUACAUGUGCACUGGAACUGGCUUCUUAUAAUCACGUUAGGUUCAGCCUGGCAAAGAUUUGGAGCUGUGCUUAAGCAUGUGAGUAGCCCCCUGAAGUUGAGUGGGAUGGCACAAAGCGAUGUACAGACGCCUCUGAAGGUGCUGGGCCGUGUGUCACAGCAGCCUGAAAAUCUGCUGAGAAACACCAUCCCUGAAAACACUUUCUAGAAGGAUAAGCAGCAGAGUGAUCCUGAAGCCAUCCCCAUGCCGUGGGUUUACACACCAUCCCCAAGACAAGGGCGACUAAUGGUUGCUGUAACAGCAAAACCUACAUAGCCCACUCGUGUUCCCACUUGUUCUCACUGUCAGGAGCCCCCAGAGCCUCCUCUGUGCUCAUCCUGUGGUCAGACACAGUUCCCAAAGGGCACCUCAGGUUACUCUUUAGAACUACAAGGGUUCCAUUUCAGUGCCCAGUAGGCUGCUCAGUACAGGGCUAUUGUCAAGAGGUUUUGUCCCUCAGCCAACAUUACACUCCAGUACUCUUCAGGCCUGCCUCUCCCCUUGUGAAGAGGGGCAAGUCACACCCUAAAUCCCCACGUAAAGCAGUUUAUGAGCUGUCUGCAGGGGCAGAUGCCUUGCUGAAGGAAAGCUCUCUGCUACAGAAGUCUCCAUGGGUUUAAUAAUUUUUUCCUCCACAAAAUGAACUUUUCAGACUCCUCCCUGCCCCUCUGUGUCCAUGGCUCUGUACAGACAUGAGGCCAGCCUGCCUCAGCCACAGCUCUGAGGUACCCCCCUGUGUGUUUGCACACACCACUGCUAACUACUAACCUUUAUUUGACCAGAGCAUAAAAUAUCUGCAGCUCUCAGAGAUGUUUAUGGCAGCAGCAGAGCUGCCCUCUGUUAAAGAUUAGGCAGUGGCCACAGCAGCCAAGGCCAAUGCCAGGUUCAAAAGGACAAUAUUCCAACUGCUGUUUGACUGCUGCAGCUGGAACAUCUCCCUUCCAUGGUUCAACACCAGUUGUCUCACAGGAAGAAGAAAGGAUGGUCCUUUCCUCUCUUCAAACCAGAGGCAGCAGGACACCACUGCAUGUCCCCCAGCCGAGCUCUUUGGGGCACUUUGCAACAAAACCAUUGCAUGUGAAGGGAAUGGAGGGAACAUCACAGUAGUGCCAUGCUCACUGUCCCUACCUAAGAGCAGAGUGAGGCAAAGGGCUUGGACAUGGCCCAGAGAGAUAAGAGCCAGGAGAAACCAUGUCUCAUCAGCACAGAGCAUCUGUGCAGCUGCAGUGGGAUAACAUCAGCACCAUCCUAUCAAAACGCUCCAGUUGCUGGAGGGCUGUUGUGCUGAGCCAUGAGCUGCAGCAGAGACACAGACAAGAAGCACAACAUCACUGUGUCUGGGUCCCAGGGGAGAAGAGAGCUCAGAAAAUUGUGGUGAUGUUACAGUUUUGAGGUCUGUGCAGCAAACUCAGAUACCACUUCAGGCAAAGAAGAUGAGGGAGCACUGCCAGUGUAUGUCCUGGUGAAACCAAUCCAGCAUGACUCAGCAGCUACAGCAGGGGUGGAGAGGCACUAGAUCUGGGAGUUGUGCAACAGCUUUGGGACUCCCUCUGAUCCAGGGGACACUGAUGAUCAACAAGAAAAGCCUCUGGAGAAUUAGCAUCAGCGUGUCUGGCCAAGCCAAAAUCCAAGAUCUGUAGUUCACCAAAGGAAGAGAGAGAAGGAAAGGCAGGAAAGAAAAGAGAAAUCCUACAGGCAAGUGAGAAUCUGCUUCCAGGAGGAAAGGAGGUAGAUCCCAUUGGAUAAUAAUGAAGCUCCAGCUAUACCACAGCCACCCACGGGAUGGUUCAGAGAAGUAACAGGUUUGUCUUAAUCCCGCUGUAAAUUGCAAGCCAGCUGCAAAACCAGUUGUUGUGGAAAGACCCUGCCAAAAGGAUCAGUGCUGUGUGCUAGCUGGAAGGUCAUUUCCUUUCCUGAUGCUUAAGUUUCAUCUCUGUAAGCUUUAUUUAAUUGAGUUGUGCUGUAAGCUGGCAGCAAAGGCAUCUCCCAGGCCACCAUGACUCACUCUUUUAAUGAGAACACCUUGUAGCUGACAGGGGAUGGCCUUGCCCUCAGUACUGGAGAUAAACAUAGCUUGAGACAACCUUUACAGCUUUUCCUAGAGCCAUUUCCCCUUUCCUCCAGCCAUUCCCUAUGAUAUACAUUUCAGCCAAAGGCCUGCUAGGGCACUGCACCAGCGAGCUGCCAGCAACCACUUCGGAGCAAUCCUCAAAACAUCUUUGUCUGGAGUCACAACCAUCAUGUCAGUGAGAACCAAAGGGUAACUGUGGCUGAAUCCAGUUACCCAUCAGGGAUUGCUCACCCAAUGCAAGUGUUGCUCAGCAGUACUGAAUUUACUUAGGAAGUCGUUAGGAGCUGCUGUGCCGCAGGAGUGACGGCGACAGGAUGUUCAUUCCAAGUCUUGGACCAUGAUUCAGCAAGUUACAUCAGCAGGUGAGUAUUUCCCACUGCCUGCAACCACUGAGUAACAAAACACCUCCAAUUGUGUCUCAGAAGGCAAGAGGAAACAUGACAGUGCCAAAUUCCUGCUGGCAGGGCAGUUCCUUCACGAUCUGAUGUGUUAUGUGCUACCAAGUGCUGCUUUUCCACCUACCUUGAGCUGACAGUCUUCAUUCACAGCCAAGUUGCCUGGCUUCAGGUCCUACAACAGGCAAGAGCAGACAAUAAGGAUAUUUUCAUUUGCAACAUAUCCACACGAACUGCAGCCAAACCUCUGCUCCCCUUUGAUGGGGUCCCAUCACAUCCUGAGCCAGCAGACACCACACUUGCCACAUUCUACAGCUUUACAUUACUAUUUCUUUUUUUCUGAAACAGUUCUGCUUCCAAAAGCAGCCCAAAAUGCUUCUCAGCUCAUCAAAAAUUACAGCAUUUCCUCAAAAUGCUGCACAAAGGAGCAAAUCCAAACACACACGUGGCAAAGGAGGGCAAAGAGGGAGGACGCCAGAGAGACCUCAGAGCAGACAAGGCUCUUAGUGGCUUAACAACCGUACAACCAAGCAGUGUUUCUCCUAAACAGACACAAAUCAGAGUAAGAGCACACCUGAACUUACCCUAUGGACGAUGCCAGCUGAGUGAAUAUACUGCAAGAAAAAGAGGAGCCACAAUGUGAGCACCAGCAGACAAGAUCUUCUGUUCUCCAGCAGAGAAACAACAGCUACAAACAAGAACUUGCUGAGAACACAAGUCUGCAGCCCACUGUGGGUCCCCAGCCCCCAGGGCAGCAGAUUGGAAAGAAAUCUCUGGACUGAAUUUCCGACAGCAUUUGCAAUGAUAUUGGCAGUGGAAAGAAGAGACCCAGAGCAGAAGAGGAGAUGUGGAGCUAUAGCUCCUUGGAGCAAGGACACUAAUAGCUUCAAAGUCCCAAAGGCAUCGAGAUUACAGCUCGGUGUGUUAUGAAACAAGGGCUCAGCUCAGAUCCCAUCGAUGGGCUGCUUCAUGUUUAACCUGCCAAAGACUCACUCGCCUCCUCCAGUUCACCAGAGUGCACCAAGACAAUCUGCCCUCUGCCUCCUCUCACUACAGCCACCUUUGCCCAGCUCAUUAAUUAACAGCAGCUCGUGCUGCUCCCUUCAUAGCUUGAGGAUUAUCAGCCAGGAGGGAAGUCUGUUACUGAUCCUGCUUUACAAUAACUUCUAUCUAUUUUAAGAAUUCAAGCUGGAAGCAGUAUCAAGGCAGAGGUCAUACUGGUCAGCUCCUUUCCCCAGGCAGCCCAGCAGCAGCCUCAAGGACACACUGCAACCACUCCUCUUCCAGUACCCACCUCUGCCAUCACCUACAGAUUGCUCUCAGACCCCCACGUAUUUUCCCCCCAACUUUGCUGCCAGACAGGAGCCUUAAUGCAAGGUGAAGACCAAGCCAGACCCAAACCAGACAUGAAGGUGACACUUUGAAGUGCACCCAGGACCUCCCUGCUCCUCCCAAGGCUGCCCCCCGAGCUGAGCUCGGAUGGGAAACGCUGCCCUUGCUGCCCACCCAGGCUGACCACAGGAACAGCUCAGUUUCUUCAAGUGACCAAGUCUCUAAACCGCUGCCAGAGCAGGAGGCAAACCACCCUUCAUCACACAUGCAAAUGGCCUUUCCUAAUGGAGGGGUGCUGACAAGUGCCUCCUCGUUUCCCCUCAUUCCACCCCCAGCUCGCCCCGCGGAGCAGCCGGGACCCCACUCACCACACGGAGCCGUAGGCGCCAGAGCCCACCGGCUGCAGGGACGUGUAUCUCCUGGGCAGCUCCCAGAGGGUUUUGUUCACCUCCUGUCUGUAGAAGAGUCUUCUCCUUGCGAUGUUCAUCGCCCGGCGGGUGCGAGACUGCCACCCCCCCAGAGUCCUGGAGUCCGGGAGGGCUCCUGGGGCGGGAGCGGGCCAGCGAGGCCUCCUGCGCUGCUAAAAAAGGCUCCAAGGAGUUUCCUUCUCCGUUUUCAGCUGUUGCGAGCGUGAAGGGACAUGUCUUUGGGCCCUCCUCCCUCCGCCUCCACAUGGGCAGAGGUGAGGCAUCAGGCUGCCCGACACGCCUCGUGCAGGUGCCUCUGGACUCUGCGACAGGAGGCGAGGGCCCAGCCCUGGCGCGGGCACACCUCCGGCAGCCCUGUCAGCACCCACAGCUCGUGCCUCCUGCUGCCACCCGCUGAGAAAUGUCCUGCUGGGGCUCCCAGGGCCCCUCGUGAACUCCCUGCUCUGAACAAGCUGAUGAGUAAGGACUUGUCGAGCUGGGGAAUCUGGGGGAUGAGCCACAGUGCCUCGUCAGCCUCGCAGGGACAUUCAUCUCUCCAGCUGAUGCAGGACAGCUCCAGGCUCGUGAGGAAUGACACCAGGGGUUACAUCCACAGUACAGCGAGGAACAACGAGGAUUUUCUCCCAAGCCUGGCUUCCCAGUGGGGCUGGAAAUGGUGAGAGCCAGCUGAGGUUCUCCACAGCGGUGGGACAACCUUGGGACUGUUCAGGCCUCAGCUCUGUUGGGUCUGGUGUCAUCUCCUGCAGCAGGUCCAACCCAUUCUUGGGUCUUCUCGGACAACAUAAAGCCUGAGUUCACUGUCUGGCCAGGCCAGAACUGCAAACCCAGCCUGUGGAAAGGUCCAUUCCUGGUAAGCUGGGAUUAUCUCUGUGUUUUUCUCCAGCUCUCAGCAGCUCUGGGAAGUUAGGUACAUCCUACCUGCUCCCCAGAGGAAGUGACUAACCUGUCCUUACCCAGCUGGCCCAGCAGCCCCCAACCCUGCCCACAGCCUCUGCUCCUGCCAUACCUGUCACCUGCAAAGCUCUGCCUGCUCCCAGCACGUCCCUGCAGCAACAACCAGGGUACCUGAUAAACAGGAAUUACAGAAAAGGCACCAUCAGGGCUUUAAGAACAGACUCAUUUUACCAGCUUAGGGGCAACCCCUGUGACACACAUCAGCACUGCCCUUCACAUUUUUCAAACAGCCACAAGCAGCUCUGCUGUUUGAUACAACAAACUGAGGACAAGUUGCCGCGGCAAUUUUUCACCCUGUUUUAUGAUGUCUAUGUAAAUGAGCCCUGGCUGUGGCUACAGCCCGCUCAGGAAAUGAGCUGGCCACUGGUUCUAUAAAUACACCUCUGACAAGAGGUGUUGCAGCAGACACUCCUGGUCCAUCAGCCAAGGUGUAACUCGAUUGUUAUUUUAUGG